This 465-nucleotide ribosomal RNA is filed under the name uncultured bacterium. RNAcentral's name for it is "partial 16S ribosomal RNA". It matches the Rfam family "Bacterial small subunit ribosomal RNA", at positions 338 to 795 of the family's 1533-position model. The record is from RNAcentral.
CCUACGGGAGGCAGCAGUAGGGAAUCUUCCACAAUGGGCGCAAGCCUGAUGGAGCAACGCCGCGUGGGUGAAGAAGGUCUUCGGAUCGUAAAACCCUGUUGUUAGAGAAGAAAGUGCGUGAGAGUAACUGUUCACGGUUCGACAGUACCUAACCAGGAAGCCACGGCUAACUACGUGCCAGCAGCCGCGGUAAUACGUCGGUGGCAAGCGUUAUCCGGAUUUAUUGGGCGUAAAGGGAGCGCAGGCGGGCUUGUAAGUCUGAGGGGAAAGCUUACGGCUUAACCGGAGAAGUGCUUUGGAAACUGGGAGGCUAGAGUGCAGGAGAGGAGGGUGGAACUCCAGGUGUAGCGGUAAAAUGCGUAGAUAUAUGGAAGAACACCAGUGGCGAAAGCGGCUCUCUGGUCUGUAACUGACGCUGAGGCUCGAAAGCGUGGGUAGCAAACAGGAUUAGAUACCCGUGUAGUC